Molecule: small nuclear RNA, 101 nt
Filed under: Dictyocaulus viviparus (bovine lungworm)
Lineage: Eukaryota; Metazoa; Nematoda; Chromadorea; Rhabditida; Metastrongylidae
Source: RNAcentral
UUAAACAUAAAAGUUUUUCGAUUAAAUUGAAUUGGAACAAUACAAAGAGGAUUAGCAUGGCACUUACGCAGGGAUGAUUUCAAGAAACGUUCUAAAAUUGC